Long non-coding RNA from Gasterosteus aculeatus aculeatus (three-spined stickleback), 516 nucleotides. Lineage: Eukaryota; Metazoa; Chordata; Actinopteri; Perciformes; Gasterosteidae. The record is from Ensembl.
UCCUACACACCGUGGAUAUUUGUGCGGAUUGACAUGAGAUGCUGCGAGAGAGUUGUGCUGCUUUUAUAUCAGUGAAACAGUUUUUUCCUGUCAGAGAUGGACCCUGGUGGGUUCCAAUUACAUAUUUUACAAUGCCAUGUCUAUAAUGGUUAGAUUUUCUGUUUUUGGAGAAUGACGCCUACGAGGGCCACGGCCGAGAAGACUUUCAGUUUUAGUGAGACGAGGACUUUUGUAUAAUACUCGUUAAAUUGACCAAUUUAAUUUAAUUUCUGGUUUCACUAAAAUUGUUUUGUUUUAAAGGACUACUGUGUCCUUCUGGCUGUGGAGCAAAAAUGUUUGCCCGACUCAGUGAAACGGUAUCGUAAUCAUAUCCUCCUGGAGAGAGACAAUCAAAUCAGCAGUAAAUCCGCUAACAAAUAAAUAUGACCAAGCGGAAGCAGUAGGAUUCUUGCUCAGGAUAUGCAGCACUGCCUUUAACAGGUCCUCUAGGGUCACAUCUGUAGUUGCCAUGGGGAU